GGCCACUGCUAUGGGGGUCCGACUAAGCCAUGGGAGUCAUGGGGCGCGCUCUGCGCGCACCGGCGGACGGCUCAGUAACACGUCGGUAACCUACCCUCGGGAGGGGGAUAACCCCGGGAAACUGGGGCUAAUCCCCCAUAGGCCUGAGGUACUGGAAGGUCCUCAGGCCGAAAGGGGCAUCUGCCCGCCCGAGGAUGGGCCGGCGGCCGAUUAGGUAGUUGGUGGGGUAACGGCCCACCAAGCCGAAGAUCGGUACGGGCCAUGAGAGUGGGAGCCCGGAGAUGGACACUGAGACACGAGUCCAGGCCCUACGGGGCGCAGCAGGCGCGAAACCUCCGCAAUGCGGGCAACCGCGACGGGGGGGACCCCCAGUGCCGUGGCAUAACCACGGCUUUUUCCGGAGUGUAAAAAGCUCCGGGAAUAAGGGCUGGGCAAGGCCGGUGGCAGCCGCCGCGGUAAUACCGGCGGCCCGAGUGGUGGCCGCUAUUAUUGGGCCUAAAGCGUCCGUAGCCGGGCCCGUAAGUCCCUGGCGAAAUCCCACGGCUCAACCGUGGGGCUUGCUGGGGAUACUGCGGGCCUUGGGACCGGGAGAGGCCGGGGGUACCCCUGGGGUAGGGGUGAAAUCCUAUAAUCCCAGGGGGACCGCCAGUGGCGAAGGCGCCCGGCUGGAACGGGUCCGACGGUGAGGGACGAAGGCCAGGGGAGCGAACCGGAUUAGAUACCCGGGUAGUCCUGGCUGUAAAGGAUGCGGGCUAGGUGUCGGGCGAGCUUCGAGCUCGCCCGGUGCCGGAGGGAAGCCGUUAGGCCCGCCGCCUGGGGAGUACGGCCGCAAGGCUGAAACUUAAAGGAAUUGGCGGGGGAGCACUACAAGGGGUGGAGCGUGCGGUUU
Molecule: ribosomal RNA, 889 nt
Filed under: uncultured archaeon pPCA7.8
Lineage: Archaea
Description: bacterial SSU rRNA
Rfam family: Archaeal small subunit ribosomal RNA
Source: RNAcentral